RNAcentral lists this ribosomal RNA (484 nucleotides) under uncultured bacterium. RNAcentral describes it as "partial 16S ribosomal RNA". It matches the Rfam family "Bacterial small subunit ribosomal RNA", at positions 36 to 507 of the family's 1533-position model. The record is from RNAcentral.
CUUUCCCUCUGGCGGCAGGCCUAACACAUGCAAGUCGAGCGGAUGAAGGGAGCUUGCUCCUGGAUUCAGCGGCGGACGGGUGAGUAAUGCCUAGGAAUCUGCCUGGUAGUGGGGGAUAACGUCCGGAAACGGGCGCUAAUACCGCAUACGUCCUGAGGGAGAAAGUGGGGGAUCUUCGGACCUCACGCUAUCAGAUGAGCCUAGGUCGGAUUAGCUAGUUGGUGGGGUAAAGGCCUACCAAGGCGACGAUCCGUAACUGGUCUGAGAGGAUGAUCAGUCACACUGGAACGGAGACACGGUCCAGACUCCUACGGGAGGCAGCAGUGGGGAAUAUUGGACAAUGGGCGAAAGCCUGAUCCAGCCAUGCCGCGUGUGUGAAGAAGGUCUUCGGAUUGUAAAGCACUUUAAGUUGGGAGGAAGGGCAGUAAGUUAAUACCUUGCUGUUUUGACGUUACCAACAGAAUAAGCACCGGCUAACUUCGUG